RNAcentral lists this ribosomal RNA (492 nucleotides) under uncultured bacterium. RNAcentral's name for it is "partial 16S ribosomal RNA". It matches the Rfam family "Bacterial small subunit ribosomal RNA", at positions 29 to 507 of the family's 1533-position model. The record is from RNAcentral.
AGUGAACGCUGGCGGUAGGCCUAACACAUGCAAGUCGAACGGCAGCACAGUAAGAGCUUGCUCUUACGGGUGGCGAGUGGCGGACGGGUGAGGAAUACAUCGGAAUCUACUUUUUCGUGGGGGAUAACGUAGGGAAACUUACGCUAAUACCGCAUACGACCUACGGGUGAAAGCAGGGGAUCUUCGGACCUUGCGCGAUUGAAUGAGCCGCUUUCGGAUUAGCUAGUUGGCGGGGUAAAUGCCCACCAAGGCGACGAUCCGUAGCUGGUCUGAGAGGAUGAUCAGCCACACUGGAACUGAGACACGGUCCAGACUACUACGGGAGGCAGCAGUGGGGAAUAUUGGACAAUGGGCGCAAGCCUGAUCCAGCCAUACCGCGUGGGUGAAGAAGGCCUUCGGGUUGUAAAGCCCUUUUGUUGGGAAAGAAAAGCAGCAGGUUAAUACCCCGCUGUUCUGACGGUACCCAAAGAAUAAGCACCGGCUAACUUCGUG